RNAcentral lists this ribosomal RNA (415 nucleotides) under uncultured soil bacterium. RNAcentral's name for it is "bacterial SSU rRNA". It matches the Rfam family "Bacterial small subunit ribosomal RNA", at positions 167 to 562 of the family's 1533-position model. The record is from RNAcentral.
UACCGCAUGACGUUCUGGGUUUAAAGACCUGGAAACCAAAGCCGGGGACCGCAAGGCCUGGCGCUUGAAGAGGAGCCCGCGUCCGAUUAGCUAGUUGGCGGGGUAAUGGCCCACCAAGGCGACGAUCGGUAGCCGGCCUGAGAGGGCGGACGGCCACACUGGAACUGAGACACGGUCCAGACUCCUACGGGAGGCAGCAGUGGGGAAUUGUUCACAAUGGGCGCAAGCCUGAUGACGCAACGCCGCGUGGGGGAUGAAGGUCUUCGGAUUGUAAACCCCUGUCGAAUGGGACGAAAGACCCGGGAGCUAAUCAUCCUGGGAGUGACGGUACCGUUAAAGGAAGCCACGGCUAACUCUGUGCCAGCAGCCGCGGUAAUACAGAGGUGGCAAGCGUUGUUCGGAAUUACUGGGCGUA